UCGGGCCGUGCACGAGGCCGUGGAGCAAGUGCUUGAAACGCUUGCCCCCGUCGAGCGAGAGUUCGAUUCCCCGGGCCUGCA
RNAcentral lists this transfer RNA (81 nucleotides) under Anatilimnocola aggregata. RNAcentral's name for it is "Planctomycetes bacterium ETA_A8 tRNA-Ser". Lineage: Bacteria; Pseudomonadati; Planctomycetota; Planctomycetia; Pirellulales; Pirellulaceae. The record is from RNAcentral.